GAGGAAGUAAAAGUCGUAACAAGGUUUCCGUAGGUGAACCUGCGGAAGGAUCAUUAACGAGUAAGGGGCUCCGCGCUCCGGGGGCUUCGGCCGCCAACUCUCAACCCUGUGCGUAUCUACCUCUGUUGCUUCGGCGGGUCUCGGUUGACCCCGACGCCGACCCGGGGGCGAUCUCGGGCUGGCGAGCUUCCGCCGGAGGCCAUCUUCAUUCUAUGUUAUCAGUGUCGUCUGAGGAUAAAUUCAAUAACUAAAACUUUCAACAACGGAUCUCUUGGUUCUGGCAUCGAUGAAGAACGCAGCGAAAUGCGAUAAGUAAUGUGAAUUGCAGAAUUCAGUGAAUCAUCGAAUCUUUGAACGCACAUUGCGCCCCUUGGUAUUCCGAGGGGCAUGCCUGUUCGAGCGUCAUUGCAACCUUCAAGCGCCGCUUGGUGUUGGGUUUCGUCCCCCGGACGUGCCCGAAAGUUAGUGGCGGUCCAGUCGAGAUUUCGAGCGUAGUAAUUUUCAUCCCGCUUUGGAAGCUCUCGCUGCGGCCGGCCAGUCAACCCUCAAUUAAUUUUUAAUGGUUGACCUCGGAUCAGGUAGGGAUACCCGCUGAACUUAAGCAUAUCAAUAAGCGGAGGAAAAGAAACCAACAGGGAUUGCCUCAGUAACGGCGAGUGAAGCGGCAACAGCUCAAAUUUGAAAUCUGACCCCGUCGGGGCCCGAGUUGUAAUUUGUAGAGGGUGCUUCGGGCGCGGCGCCGGUCUAAGUUCCUUGGAACAGGACGUCAUAGAGGGUGAGAAUCCCGUAUGCGACCGGCGAUCAACCCCAUGUGAAGCCCCUUCGACGAGUCGAGUUGUU
RNAcentral lists this ribosomal RNA (840 nucleotides) under Porpidia hydrophila. Its description in RNAcentral is "eukaryotic LSU rRNA". The stretch from base 565 to 840 matches the Rfam family "Eukaryotic large subunit ribosomal RNA", at positions 1 to 274 of the family's 3401-position model. The record is from RNAcentral. Lineage: Eukaryota; Fungi; Ascomycota; Lecanoromycetes; Lecideales; Lecideaceae.